This 253-nucleotide ribosomal RNA is filed under the name uncultured bacterium. Its description in RNAcentral is "partial 16S ribosomal RNA". It matches the Rfam family "Bacterial small subunit ribosomal RNA", at positions 524 to 776 of the family's 1533-position model. The record is from RNAcentral.
UACGAAGGGUGCAAACGUUGCUCGGAAUCAUUGGGCGUAAAGCGCGCGUAGGCGGCCCUGUAAGUCCGUUGUGAAAGUCAAAGGCUCAACCUUUGAAAGCCGAUGGAUACUGCAGGGCUAGAGUCCGGAAGAGGCGAGUGGAAUUCCUGGUGUAGCGGUGAAAUGCGCAGAUAUCAGGAGGAACACCGAUGGCGAAGGCAGCUCGCUGGGACGGUACUGACGCUGAGGCGCGAAAGCGUGGGGAGCAAACAGG